RNAcentral lists this long non-coding RNA (725 nucleotides) under Penaeus japonicus. RNAcentral describes it as "uncharacterized LOC122263883". The record is from RNAcentral. Lineage: Eukaryota; Metazoa; Arthropoda; Malacostraca; Decapoda; Penaeidae.
CGUCUUGCCCGACAGGCCGCGCCGAGGUCAAAUCGCCCCAGUCUGUUCAGCCUGUACCCUCCCCCAGACGACCAAGGCGAACUGAACAGCGCCUUCAGAAGUGCGCUUCGAGUCAUCGUCGUCAGACACCCCUUCGGCAGCCUGGCCGCCUUCUACCGCGAGAAGAUAGCCAAGACGAACCUGAAGCCGAACAGCAGCCGCUUCAGGGAACUUCAGACGAGGAUCGUGUCCGCCUACCGCCCCACCAACAGCACCGAGUCCUCGCCAUUCCCGACCUUUCAGGAGCCUCGCGCAGUACGUCAUCGACCUGACGAAGGGCCUGGAGACGGCGGAGGACUGGGGGAAUACCGACCAGUCCCUGACUCCGACCUGGGCGCAGUGCAACGUGUGCGGCAGCGACUACACCCUUGUCCUCAAGAGCGAGACCCAGGUCGAGGACGAGCGCUUCCUCGCCCUCCUGGCCGACUACAAAGAGCCCAAGAAGCCUCGCGAGGAAAAGUCCCCCGUGCUUGUCCCACACGAGUUCUCGCAGCUGAACUACCAGCAGCUUCAGCAGCUCCGCCAGCGGUACCUCCUGGACUUCCAGCUCUUCGGAUACAAGUUGGACCAAGAAUAUUUUGAUAAGGCGAAGGACGUCUAGUUGUUUGUGGGAUUGGGGAAUGUUAGAGCUGUCACUUCAUUUCCGAAGAGAGUGUCAAGAAGUCAUUUGUUCUUGUGAAUGCAUU